UCUGUAGGCGGUGCGGCAAGUCGGGAGUGAAAUCUCUGGGCUUAACUCAGAGGCUGCUUCCGAAACUGCCGUGCUGGAGUGCGGGAGAGGUGAGUGGAAUUGCAGGUGUAGCGGUGAAAUGCGUAGAUAUCUGCAGGAACACCAGAGGCGAAGGCGGCUCACUGGACCGCAACUGACGCUGAGAGACGAAAGCUAGGGGAGCAAACAGGAUUAGAUACCCUGGUAGUCCUAGCCCUAAACGAUCAGGACUUGGCGUGGGUCCCGUACGGGGCUCGUGUCGGAGCUAACGUGUUAAGUCCUGCGCCUGGGGAGUACGGUCGCAAGGCUGAA
RNAcentral lists this ribosomal RNA (330 nucleotides) under uncultured bacterium. RNAcentral's name for it is "bacterial SSU rRNA". It matches the Rfam family "Bacterial small subunit ribosomal RNA", at positions 568 to 898 of the family's 1533-position model. The record is from RNAcentral.